ACUAAGUGUGUGGCACCUGUGCAGUGCACCAGGCAAUGUGUGCAGCACAUGAGCACUAAAGGGAAACUCUGUGCACAGCUGAGUGUACACAUUUUUAUUUAACAAUUCAGUUUGUUACAGUGAGUCUCAAGGAGAAGGGAUUUAUGAAUGUUUAUUCUUAGUGAGGCUUACUGGGUAUCUCUAGUGGAUCUUGGCCUCAUUCAAAGCACAAACUGAAAAUUCCUUCUCAGUUCUUUUCUUUCAAAGAAACAGGUGAAAAAAAAAUAACCAGCUUAAGUGAUCAUUGAAAGAUUCCAAGAUAACCAUAUAAAAUAGUUGUUUCCUUCUGUAUGCAAGGGGUUUCUGAAAGGCCUAACAGUGCUGUAAGUAAGGUUGGCUGAUAUCAAUGGUAAGAUAGUACUGCAUUGUGACUUGAGGGGACAAUUAGGAAAGUGUUCUAGUGUUUGUACCCCCAAAUCACUGCCUUAGUAUAAAUGGCACCCCCAGAACCUACGUACAAGAAACCCAUUCAGAUAGGAGCAUUUGUGCCAUUUAUCUGAAUGAAAUCUGGUGGGUCCCAUAAAUUUUCUUUAUCUGAAUUAGAUUCAGUCAUAGUUUGAAAUGAUUGAAUGUUGACCUAAGAACUUAAGGUGGAAUAAGAAGCUGCUAAGAAAAACACUGAAACCAGGUAGGGUUAAGCGCUGUCUGGGUCUCAGACCCAGGAGCUAUAGUUCAUUAUGAGAAACCCUGACUGAGCCACUUAGAAAGAUGAGCUCUGUCACCAUAGCAACACUAGGACCACUUCUGCAGAUCUUAGUGGUUCCUGCCAAUCAGCUCCGGCCCUGAACCAUCAAAUCCACUUACAAUGAUGCCAGAUGCUCCACACUCAAGGAUAUAUAUAUAAAAAAUGUCCAGAUGUGCCACAGGCAGAGGAGGUGUAAUUUUUUCUUUGAAAAUUCUCUUUUCCUUCUUUAUAUGAUAGAAUAUAUUGCAAAAUCUAACUAUUCUACUUGGUGUAAAAAACAAAAACAAAAACAAAAAACCACCACCACCAACAACAAUUAGCAAACCCCAAUUCCUGUUACUAAUCAACUGCUUAUAUUCCAUAACUCACAAAUAACAAUUUUUUAUACCUAGAGUUUAUAGCUUAUAUUUUUUUUUGUUGCAGUGAAUGUAAACACAAAUGCAUGAGUGUAGAUGUAUAGGGUGUGCAUGGGUAUUUUGAAUGCAUUCUCUAAUGGGUUUUCAGUGCCUUAGUAGCAGGAGUUGUAUACUAUUUAGCCUUGUAUCCUUAUUGCUUACUUACAGACUCAGAGUUCAGAGUUAGAAUUUGGAACAGCAAAGAUGAAUGGAUUAGACAGAACUUCUCCUGAUGUCAGUUCAUGAGGCAGAAGCGUUCAGUGGUCAUAGGAAAAUGGAGACUUGAAGAGAAAGAAGUCCAUGCAGAACUGCGAUCCAGAAGUCUGGAGUCUGAGUUGUCCGUUUCAUUUGUGUAGUUUACAAACAGAAGUGGUAUUCAUAAAGAGCAGCAGAACGCGCCCUCCAAGUGUGUAUUUUUGUGUCUGUUGCUGUGAUUUACUAAUGGAUCGGGCACUCCUAGACAUCACCGUUAGAGUUGGGAGCAGGCAAUUGAAACAGAUCAAACUUUUGAAUGAUUGAUAGAACAACAGCAGGUGGCAAUUUAAAGGACAUGAGGGAUAACUUCUGAUUUAGAGACUAUCUUCAGCAAGUCUGAAUACUGAUACAACACCAUCCAAAGGCAGUGAACAGAGGGGAGCAAACAAAUGAAAUCAUUGAAAGUCCUUUUUGUUUGAGACUCAAAAUAAGCCUCCCAGUUAUGUGACCUACUUACUCACCAGGUUGUAAAUGACCUCCAAAAUCUGCCCUUUAAUACCCAUGCGUCUCCCCUCUAUAGCGUUGCCUUAUUAAAAUUAAAGUAUUUGCAGAUGCUCAAGCACUUUGUAAAGAAAAAGUGGACACUCCCAAAGUCUAAAUACAGUUGUUUCUAAGGGAAAGCCAACUGCUCCGUUAAAAUUCUAGGUGGAUUGACCUAGAUCUAGAAAUGGAAAGGUUUGCUGAGACGUGGGCAGUCGUGCAAAUCUCUGAGAAGUGGGUUAUUUAAACAGAUGGUAUCUGUGUCACAGCGAGCUCCAUAUGCAAGUUGACAGUGAGCAGAACUCUAGGGGAGGCAGGGUGGAGAGGAAGCAUAAUUUCACAGUGGACCUCUGAGAAUUUUAAUUAAAACACAGAGUGGAAAUUUAGAGUGCUUGGAUAUACUUCUUCUGAAUAUUAAUUGAAUAUUAAUAUUGGUUAGACUGUUGCUAAGAUACCAGCCGCCCUGGGAGCCCUGGGAAGUUCAUGGAGGCUGCUCUUGCUAAGUUUUGGGUGUGACUUGGCCAUGAUAUCUCUGUACUCUCCUAUGAGAUCUGGAGGGAGAUCGUAAGGCAGGGCUGCACUUCACUGUGUCCUUGAUGCUGGCCAUGGAGCUAAGGAGUUUCCUUUCUUUAUUGUCUGUGUCACUGCUCUGUAGCUGAGACAUUAUUUUGGCAAGUGUCAAGGGACAGAGGAUGCCCCACCAUGACACAGUAUAUAGAAUAAACUAGAGCAACUUCCUGCUUCUUUCCCCAUCUGUGUUUGACCUUACAUAAUCAUUCUUUCUGAAUUGUAAAGCACACAUGCCAUUUAUCUUUCCAUAGGAGGAAGAUGAAAGUGUUUCAUAAGGAAAGAGUAAGUCUCCCAUUACAUAACCCCAGGGAACCCUGUUGGGAAAUGGGAAAAGUGAGACAUAUACUUAAGUAUUUCAUCUGAGGAGACAAAUUGAUAAGGCUUCACAGUAUAUUAAUGACUAACAUAGGAACUCAUGCCACUUAAAAUUUUCAGCACUCACAAAAAGAAAUUUGUAAAAGCAAAUUUUAACACAGAAGGGGUAGAGCUCCUGAUGUCCCAUCCCUAUCUGAGGAGUAAAUGCCAGCCGAUGGUUGCUUCAGGAGGAAAAGCCACUUUUCUUCGGGGGCAUGGCCACCAGCUUUUGCCCUUGUCCCAGUAGGCAACUAUACCCAUGUGCAUAUGGUUGGCACUAACUGGAUUCAGUGCAUUAUGAAUGAAUAAACAACGAAUGAUUUCUAAGGGAGCAUGUGAUGGGCUAGAGGGAGGGAGGACCCAGUGGCUAAGGGCUCCUUUUCCAGAGGUAUUGAUUCUUAGCACCCACAUUAGGUACUCAUAGCCACCUGGAACUCAAGUUUUAGGGAAUCUAACAUGAUUCUCUGGCCUAUACUGCACAUGCUGGGCAUAAACACAUGCAGGCAUUACAUAUACACAAAUAAAAAUGAAUAAGUGAAACUUUAAAAUCUGAAAACAUGACGUUGGGAGGGAAAUGUUGGGGGUGGUUGGAGGAGGAUCAGAGAGGAAGAGUAGGGGUUACAUAUGAUUAAGAUACAUUGUACACAUGUAUAGAAAUUUCAAAAACAAUAAAUAAAAAGUGUUAUUAGAAAAAGAAUAGGUGAAAGAAAUAAUGGAUAUUUCUCACAAACUGCUGAUUAUAAGAAAUUUUCUGUUAUCAGGGCAACACAUUUAUUGCAUUUUCUUCCUCAUUUCAAUUUUUCUUCAAAGGGGACAAUGCUAAUAGGGCUAUUUGUCUAGUACCACUUGGUCACAGAUAGAAAGAUGGGUAAUCAAGUUGAUGUGUGAUUAUAUGUGGCAUUUAAAUACAAUUACUUAUAUACUUUUCUAAUUAUGUCACUUUGAAAUUUAAGUUUUAAGUUUGUAGCUUAGUGU
Molecule: long non-coding RNA, 3753 nt
Filed under: Mus musculus (house mouse)
Lineage: Eukaryota; Metazoa; Chordata; Mammalia; Rodentia; Muridae
Description: long non-coding RNA chr18:32998545-33002298
Source: RNAcentral